Molecule: RNA transcript, 2502 nt
Organism: Daucus carota subsp. sativus
Lineage: Eukaryota; Viridiplantae; Streptophyta; Magnoliopsida; Apiales; Apiaceae
Exons: 5
Source: RefSeq, a predicted model, not a curated record
CUUGUACAUAUACAUAAGUUAAUUGUUUCCUUUCUUUUCUCUCACACAAACAAACCCUAGCUCACAUUACACCAAACUCAUUGCUUUAAUUCAUUGCAACAACCAGAUUGCAUCGUUGUAUUUCUCUGAUUUCCCAAAGAUUUGUGAGACUCAAUUCAUACUCAUCAUGAGAUUCAAACCAGGGAGCAAGGUGGAGGUGCUGAAGGAAGUGGAUUCAUUGACUGCAUGGUGUGGCGGGGAAAUUAUCUCUGGUAAAGGGCAUAGUUACACUGUCAGAUAUGAUCAUUAUGUCCCGGAGCAUGGGGAAGCUACUGAUAGGGUACAUGAAGAGCUUGUCAGACCUCCUCCUCCUGUACAAAGAGUGGAUAGUUGGGUGUCUGAUGAUGUUGUGGAAGUUUUUGAUGAUGUUAUGUGGAGAACCGCCAUCAUAUCAUCCGCGUGUGGAUCUUAUUGUAAUGUUCGGCUACUUGGAUCAUCUUACAAGUUCGGAGUACACAUAUCAAAUAUCCGGCUUAGACAGUCUUGGAAAAAUGAUAAAUGGCUUUUGAUGGGCAAGGGAUGGGCGAAUUCUGGAGAGUUGGAAUUAAGUCAACUGUCGACUUCAGAUUGUUAUCAGAAGAUGACCUACCAGGCAGCACAAACUAAUGCAGCAGUCAAAAAGCAACGAAAAUUCAACCUAUCAGCAGCAGCACAAAACAGCGGGGCACGGGAUUCUCAUAUUGCAUAUUCUAGAACACUGAAGAGAGCAUCUCCUUAUUGUUCAUCUCUUAUUCAGGCAAAUAGUGGAAAUCUUAAGAAAUUCAGAACUGCUGAAAAAGAAGACCGAAGGCAUCCAGUGCUCCCUGUUAAUGUGAAUCAGGUAGAUGCUGUAGCUUACCCAAGAAAAAAUCUGGGUGAAACGUACAUGCGUGCUUCCUUUAACAAUAUAACAAAUGGACAUAAUGAAUUGGAUAGAGGAGAACUAAAUGAUGUCAUUGCCUGUUCAGCUGCAAGGGACUCCGAGAGUAAUGAUUCUGAUAGCGAUAUAUCUUCUGUUGGUAGUUGUAGUGCUAUUUCUAGAACUCUAAAUAAGUUUUCCACCCAUAAGCUAGCAGUUUCAUAUCAAGAGACAAAUAGCCUUUCUAGCGAUGCAGAAUCUUGUUGCAGCGGUGCGAGGGACAAGGAAAGUUGUGACGUUCCUCCAGAAGAGGUUAUAGCAGAAAGGCAAAAGAUCUGGUGGCUUGCAAAUUUUGCUUCCGGUCUUUCACAAUGAUGCUGGGGUAUGCAAAACUAUAUUUGCAUAACUAACCGGGGCAUCUACUAUCUUCAGAUUGGAAACUAUAGCCAUCUGGUGACAGUGUGACACCUAUUAUUGUUCUUGAUGUUAUUUCAUGUCAAGGCAGCUCAAUCUGUGUCAACAUGCACACUGCUGAAAUCUGGGAUAUUGUAGUUGUAAUAAUAUUAUGAGAUUCUGGCGAGGGCAAGGGCGAGCAAAGUGGAGGUGCUGAUUGCAUGGUGUAUUGUCUGAAUUUGUUUUAGUACUGAAUGUUCAGAGAUACCAUCCUCAAAAAUGAGGUAUGUCAUGUGACAGAGUGCGAGUAGAUCUGCUUAUCAAAACCUUCGCCUGCACAGAGUAUAGAGUGAGGAGUUGCAUGGCUGGUGUUGUGUAAGUGUUUGAAAUGGUGCUAAGUUAAUGGAGAUUAUGGUUGUUCUGCUUCACUUAUUUUACAAAUAUAUGAGGCUACAGUGGUAUCAUGUUUAGAGAAUAUCGGAAUGCGAUAAAUGGUUAAAGAAGAUGGGAGGGUCAUGAGUUCCAAAUUUUUAAGGGACCUCUGAGAAGCGGGACCUUGAGUGCAUUCUGUGGUCUGAAGAUUAGCUUCUAGUAUGGACAAAGACAGCUAUCAAAGUCCAAGCUCUUUUCUAGCAAUUACAGAAAGUACUACUUGAAGGCCAGGUGGUUCAGAAAGAAGAAUUUAGGCAUUGAUUACUUGACAAUUGAAAUGAUAAAAAGAUAAAUGGCUGAUUUUUGUAACAAUGGAACCAUGAAAAGUAAUGAGUUUGCUGAGAGGAAACCUUAUGCUUUCAUUGCUUGGUUGGGUUCACAAUAACAUUGGAACUACUGAUUCUUGUAAAAGUGCUGCAUGCGGACUAAUGCUACUUUUCAAAGUCUAGAUGAUGGCAUAUUCCUCUUUUGGCGGUGAUGAAUCUUAAAUGGGGGUUGGGGGAAGAUAAUAGUUCCAAAUUGUAGACAUUGCUUGGACUUGCAUGCUUUCUCAUGCAAUCUAGCAGUACCGGGGAAAAGGAUUAUUGUCAAGUGAUAAGUCUGUGUAUUACUCUGGCAUUUCAAGCUAUGAGAUUCCGGAAAGCAUUUCAUUCAAUUCAUUUCUAGCAACUGCCUUAUUACUGGGGUUGACACUCAUUCAAUUUAAUUAAAGUCUAUUUUGGAUUGUAUUGUAUAUAUGAUGUAUGAUCUCUUUAUGAAGGUAGCAGCAUCUACCAGUUUUAUCAUUUUUUUUCUUUAAA